Molecule: ribosomal RNA, 504 nt
Filed under: uncultured bacterium
Lineage: Bacteria
Description: partial 16S ribosomal RNA
Rfam family: Bacterial small subunit ribosomal RNA
Source: RNAcentral
AUUGAACGCUGGCGGCAGGCCUAACACAUGCAAGUCGAACGGUAGCACAGAGAGCUUGCUCUCGGGUGACGAGUGGCGGACGGGUGAGUAAUGUCUGGGAAACUGCCCGAUGGAGGGGGAUAACUACUGGAAACGGUAGCUAAUACCGCAUAACGUCGCAAGACCAAAGUGGGGGACCUUCGGGCCUCACACCAUCGGAUGUGCCCAGAUGGGAUUAGCUAGUAGGUGGGGUAAUGGCUCACCUAGGCGACGAUCCCUAGCUGGUCUGAGAGGGUGACCGGCCACACUGGAACUGAGAGACGGUCCAGACUCCUACGGGAGGCAGCAGUGGGGAAUAUUGCACAAUGGGCGCAAGCCUGAUGCAGCCAUGCCGCGUGUAUGAAGAAGGCCUUCGGGUUGUAAAGUACUUUCAGCGGGGAGGAAGGCGGUGAAGUUAAUAACUUCACCGAUUGACGUUACCCGCAGAAGAAGCACCGGCUAACUCCGUGCCAGCCGCCGCGGUAA